Monopterus albus (swamp eel) is the source of this 788-nucleotide long non-coding RNA. RefSeq lists it as uncharacterized. Lineage: Eukaryota; Metazoa; Chordata; Actinopteri; Synbranchiformes; Synbranchidae. The transcript has 4 exons. The record is from RefSeq and is a predicted model, not a curated record.
UCUCACAUGGUGGUUUGUCUUCUGUGCAGGUGGUGCAAGGUGUAGUAGAUUAUCAAGAUGAACGACAACGCGCGGUUUUCAGCUUCAGUUCUAUAUUCAAGGAGGCAGUGGCCAGAGAAACUCAUCUCAGAUGGCAAGGGGAUUGCACAGCUACACAGCCAAGAUGCUGAAGAUCAGGGGUGGCCAACCCACUAGUCGAGGACCACUGCCCUGCAUGUUUUCCACCUGUCCCUUCCCUACCCGCUGCUGAUUACCUGGAUCAGUGUACUUGAAGACCUGUUAGUCAUCAAGCCCAGAACUCGGAGCCACACAACCCAGUGAGGAAGAUGACCUAAAACCUCAUGGGCUUGCACGCAGAUGGAUGAUGUCCUGAUGUCAAGAUCUGCUACAACAGUUGGUGGUAUCCCUGGCUCACAUUUCUGAUAAGCAGUCACCGGCCACGUUAACUCGCCCAGUGUUUAUUUACCAUCUUGUCUGUUCUGCCGUGAUGCUUUUCUUUUCUCUAUCCACUCAACCCAAUGAGUUGAGGCAGAAAGCCACCUGAACUGAAAGUUGUUUCAACUCAAACUGUCUGGUCCUGCUCUGCAGUUGUUGAAGGUCUAAAAUGCCACAGGUUGGGUCAGGGCUUCCAGUUCUUCACUGUCCAGGAGUGAGAUCAUGUGAGCCCGUGCUCCAGCAUGAUCCAUGUCCUAAUCUGGAAACUGGUCCCCCUGAAAUUAAUAAGUGUGGAGAGUGCUCUGAAAUACACCGAUCAGUCAUAACAUUAUGACCAUCUGUAUGCACUCCAA